GCUAGUAAUCGCGGAUCAGCAUGCCGCGGUGAAUACGUUCCCGGGCCUUGUACACACCGCCCGUCACACCAUGGGAGUCGGUAACACCCGAAGCCUGUAGUCUAACCGCAAGGGGGACGCAGUCGAAGGUGGGAUUGAUGACUGGGGUGAAGUCGUAACAAGGUAGC
Molecule: ribosomal RNA, 167 nt
Filed under: uncultured bacterium
Lineage: Bacteria
Description: partial 16S ribosomal RNA
Rfam family: Bacterial small subunit ribosomal RNA
Source: RNAcentral